This 26-nucleotide non-coding RNA is filed under the name Homo sapiens (human). The record is from RNAcentral. Lineage: Eukaryota; Metazoa; Chordata; Mammalia; Primates; Hominidae.
CAGGAUGCCAUCAGAGUGUGCAGCUC